This 309-nucleotide ribosomal RNA is filed under the name uncultured eukaryote. RNAcentral's name for it is "partial 18S ribosomal RNA". It matches the Rfam family "Eukaryotic small subunit ribosomal RNA", at positions 1470 to 1796 of the family's 1831-position model. The record is from RNAcentral.
CCCUUAGAUGUUCUGGGCGGCCCGCGCACUACAAUGGCGUGUGCAGCGAGUGCCGAAGUAGAGUUUUCCGAGGUAUUCUUGCAAUGCUGGUUUUGAUGGGGAUAGACCCUUGCAACUGUUGGUUUUGAACGAGGAAUUCCUUGUAAGCAUGGUUUAUCAUCCGACGCUGAAUGCGUCCCUGCCCUUUGUACACACCGCCCGUCGCUCCUACCGAUGAGUCGUCCGGUGAAGUUCGUAGACCUCGUGAUCGCGGAUCACUGGGGGAAGCAAAAUGAACCUCGCGGUUUAGAGGAAGGAGAAGUCGUAACA